Long non-coding RNA from Bos taurus (domestic cattle), 305 nucleotides. The record is from Ensembl. NCBI's taxonomy places the organism in Eukaryota, Metazoa, Chordata, Mammalia, Artiodactyla, Bovidae.
GUCACGUACAGUCGUUGUGGGUGCUCACCUCCUAUAAAUGCUGAUUGCCCAAGUGAUUAUAAGCCCAUUGCAGGUGGAGACUCUGCAACUGAAGACAUGGUACCACGCUGUUUGCGAAUGUGGAAAGGGGAGGAACCGUGGGAGAUUAGCAAGCCUAAGUUUUCAAUGGAAACGGUAUCAUUCUCUUCCUGCCCCAGUCUCCAGGGCACUGCAGAAGGGGAAGCAGCCCCAGGCCUGGCCUGAAGGGAGACUGAACUACUAUUCGUGUAUGAAGCCAGUAAGGGGUAACAGCACAGAACGCCCGG